This 1716-nucleotide ribosomal RNA is filed under the name Triticum aestivum (bread wheat). RNAcentral describes it as "partial small subunit ribosomal RNA". Lineage: Eukaryota; Viridiplantae; Streptophyta; Magnoliopsida; Poales; Poaceae. The record is from RNAcentral.
AUGCAAUUAAGCGACAGCUCCGAGUCAGAGGAUGACACCGGCGCCAGUAACCCGGUGAUUGAAGAGGUAAUGUCACUUUCCUCCGACUCGGAGCCCUUGCCACAGCUAAAAGUCCGAAGGGUAACCCGGAAAGUAAGCUUUUCACAUCCUUUAGCUCAUCAAGACCCUCAAUUUCUUUUGAAGCGACAGGUUCACGAAAGCCGGCGUCACACCCGGACUAACAAGGACACCGAUCUCUCCGCCGGGUUACCCGACGCAACAAGGAAGCGUCGCACUGAGGAGACCUCCCCCUCUUCGGGUGACUCCAUGCAGUCAAAUCUGCCGGCCUUCAAGACUGCGCCCGGUGCCCAGGCAAAGCUCACCAAAAGAGCGAAGAAGACCAGGUCAGCCGGAGUGCCAGACUUACCUGACCCGGAGGCGAUGGCUCAAGAGCCGCCAACUGCCUCCGCCCCCGAAGCAACCACUCCAAUGGACACGGCACCUGAGGCCCCUGCCCUGACUACCAAGGGAAUGACCGAAGCUUCGGUUAACCCAGAGGCCUCCGGCUCAGCUCCACCAGCAGACGACCCGGACGUGGUAAUCACCCGGACGGAAUUCGUUGAGCCGGGGAGACCGACCGCGUUGGCCAAAUGCUCCGCAAAGGGGGAGUUGCUGCAGCCCCACCGGGUGAACCUGGACCUCUCCGGCUACACCGACUUGAGCAUUGGAGAGCUCGUCUCUGGCUACAUCAGCCAAGUACACAAGAGCCGGGACGCCGAGGUUGCCAUGGUCAACCAGAUUCAACAAAAAUCUGAGGCUGUUGGCAAGAAACUAGAGGCGGAUCUUGCGGAUCUCAAGAGCCGGCUGAAGAUGCAGGAGAUGGAGACCCGGAAGGCAAAUGCCAAGUUUGUAUCCAGCAUCGCCACUCAAGAAAAAUUGAAGACCGAGUUUGAUGCUGAGAGGAAAGCCUGGGUCGAAGAGAAGGCCGCACUGGUGACCCGAGCGGAACAGGCGGAGAAGGCUCUCGCUGAGAAGACCGCCGAGCUCUCUGGCCUAAAGCGCCAGGUUUCCCAAAUGGUGGCCGCUAUCUUCGGUCCCAGGAGUGCCAACCUCAACCAGAGCGUGGUCACCAAGUUAAAGGCCGUGUACACCCUGGUGGAACAGCUCUACACCGGGUCACAGCGUGCCUUAGCUGUGGUGGCCCUAUCCAACGAGGUGCCAACUCAUCUGGCCGAAGUCCUGCGCCGGCUUGCUGUUCUGCCGCAGCGGAUCCAGGAGCUACGACGGGCCUCCGCGAGAGCCGGAGCAAUCGCCGCGCUGAGCCGGGCCAAAGCAUUCCUGCCAGAGCUAGACCCGGCAGACAUCGCCCUGGGUUACCCAAGCCUGAAGGAAGACGGCUCAGCCUUCGACCAGAAGGACUUCGCGGCAUGUGUGAAGGCUGUACGCCCGGUGGCCACCCUCAUCGGGAACGACACCGACUUGACCAAGUACCAGCCGGGUUAUGAUGCGGAGAAUCAGAGGAUUCCAACCCCUCGCUAUGAAGCCCUCAAUCUGACCCCUCCGGCUCGUCAGCACACCUUCGCCCCGGAGAUUGACCCGGCCGGGUUAAUUGAUGAAGAAGCCCAGUUCGAAGCUCUCAGCGGCAUCGACUGGAAAUCAUCAACCUUCGAGGUCUUGGGAUCAGCCGGAGGAGAAGACAGGAAUGAGUCGGGGACUUCAACUCAGCGGGCAUCAUAA